CACAUCUGAAACAUGCAUUGGUCCCAAAUCGACACCUUCCCUUGUGUGGCUUCCCACACCUUUGGCAUUCCGCGCCGUCUGAGCCUGAACUCAAACCACCGCCAAAUCCCAGACCGGAUUUCAGCUUAUUCCAGAACUUGUUCUUUUUGGGCUUCUUGGUGUUACUCCAUCUCUUACUACCUGAACUCUGAGUAGAGGGUCCUGGCCCUCCUCUGCCUGGGGUCUUAGCCCCUGAAGACUGGGUCACCGACUGCUUCAC
RNAcentral lists this long non-coding RNA (259 nucleotides) under Manihot esculenta (cassava). Its description in RNAcentral is "long non-coding RNA (MESC_LNC012424)". The record is from RNAcentral. Lineage: Eukaryota; Viridiplantae; Streptophyta; Magnoliopsida; Malpighiales; Euphorbiaceae.